This 94-nucleotide transfer RNA is filed under the name Acidobacteriota bacterium. RNAcentral describes it as "Acidobacteria bacterium tRNA-Ser". It matches the Rfam family "tRNA". From Rfam's summary of the family: Transfer RNA (tRNA) molecules are approximately 80 nucleotides in length. Their secondary structure includes four short double-helical elements and three loops (D, anti-codon, and T loops). Further hydrogen bonds mediate the characteristic L-shaped molecular structure. tRNAs have two regions of fundamental functional importance: the anti-codon, which is responsible for specific mRNA codon recognition, and the 3' end, to which the tRNAs corresponding amino acid is attached (by aminoacyl-tRNA synthetases). tRNAs cope with the degeneracy of the genetic code in two manners: having more than one tRNA (with a specific anti-codon) for a particular amino acid; and 'wobble' base-pairing, i.e. permitting non-standard base-pairing at the 3rd anti-codon position. Lineage: Bacteria; Pseudomonadati; Acidobacteriota. RNAcentral also lists the same sequence under 2 other names. The record is from RNAcentral.
GGUGAGGUGGCCGAGAGGCUGAAGGCGGCGGUUUGCUAAACCGUUAUACGGGCCAAAACCUGUAUCCAGGGUUCGAAUCCCUGCCUCACCGCCA